This 460-nucleotide ribosomal RNA is filed under the name uncultured bacterium. RNAcentral describes it as "partial 16S ribosomal RNA". It matches the Rfam family "Bacterial small subunit ribosomal RNA", at positions 338 to 795 of the family's 1533-position model. The record is from RNAcentral.
CCUACGGGUGGCAGCAGUGAGGAAUAUUGGUCAAUGGGCGGAAGCCUGAACCAGCCAAGUCGCGUGAGGGAUUAAGGCCCUGCGGGUCGUAAACCUCUUUUGCCGGGGAGCAGUGGUCCGGACGCGUCCGGCCCUGGAGAGUACCCGUAGAAAAAGCAUCGGCUAACUCCUUGCCCGCAGCCUCGGUAAUACGGAGGAUGCGAGCGUUCUCCGGCUUUAUUGGGUUUAAGGGGUGGGUAGGCGGGCAUUUAAGCCGGCGGUCAAAUGUCGGGGCUCAACCCCGGCCUGCCGUCGGAACUGGGGGCCUUGAGUGGGCGAGAAGUAGGCGGAAUGCGUGGUGUAGCGGUGAAAUGCAUAGAUAUCACGCAGAACCCCGAUUGCGAAGGCAGCAUACCGGAGCCCGACUGACGCUGAGGCACGAAAGUGCGGGUAUCGAACAGGGUUAGAUACCCCAGUAGUC